Molecule: non-coding RNA, 145 nt
Organism: Gossypium hirsutum (cotton)
Lineage: Eukaryota; Viridiplantae; Streptophyta; Magnoliopsida; Malvales; Malvaceae
Source: Rfam
UGUUAAAAAAUUCAUCCAUUUAUGUUGUUAAAAACGAGUGUGACUGAUGGAAUAACUAAACAGUGACACAUAACAUGUCUCGUAUACCUUGUGCUAAGGUAUAGUUAUCAAUUUUUAAGAAUAGAAAUAAAUGAAAUUUUUAUAA